Molecule: long non-coding RNA, 4585 nt
Organism: Passer domesticus (house sparrow)
Lineage: Eukaryota; Metazoa; Chordata; Aves; Passeriformes; Passeridae
Exons: 2
Source: RefSeq, a predicted model, not a curated record
AUAAAGGCUUGGGGCAGUGCAGGUGGUGCCUGAGGUUAAUAACCCACAGCUGGUUUUUCUCCCCACAGGUGUAGUCCAUCCAGGGACCCAAGCAAAGACACCCUGAUCCCCAUAAAUGUUGGAGAGAGGAAAGAUCACCUCUGCUGAACAUAGCCCUGGUUCAGAAGGAUGGUUUGUGUAGCUAGGGGCCAGUGCAGCAUCAGGUGGUGAUGCUGUAGCAGAAGGGAAGGAGUUCAGCUCCCCUUCCCUCUCUCAGCAAGCCUGUACACAGGCACAUGUCUAUUUACUGCUUUGUUGCUAGCUGGAGUCAGUGACUGCAAAAACUUCAUCACAAGGGGGUAAGUGGAAGAUCACAGGCUGGUAGGGGACUCAAUCUCUUAUUCCUGUGGGAGCUUUUCAUCACAAUGUGCCUCGCUGCAGAGCUGAUGGAAGCAGCAUCCUUAAGGCCUAAGGAAUGCAAUCCUCCUGGGAUACAAUGGAAACAGUUGUUCUGCAUCCCUGGAACUUCCCGUGGUCACUCACAUCUUGUGGGAGACGAAGGCGUGUGCUGAGAAACGGGUGUCACACACUGAGCUUAUGCACAAAUUCCAAACAUCCAUCACUGGAGCUGUGGACAAAGCUGUCCAGCUACUGCAGUGAUGUUGUGGCAUUGCCAGAGACCCAUUCAUGUGCCAUGGCAGAGUCUGAGAGAAGUUUGAGGCAUUUUCCAUCUACUUGCUUCCCCUGUUUCUAAUUAGUUAUGGUAUUGGCAUAAACUGGGAUCUGUGUCUACUAAGCCUUCAUCUGCUCUUCCUUAUGAAGUCAUAAUCCUUCAUGGCAUCCCAACUGCUGCACUAUGGGAGUGAUUUAGGGUGUCCCAAAGCAGAGGAUAAUACCUCAGGUACUGAACAAACAUAGUAACUGUGGAGGAAAACAAGCCUUGUGUCACACGCUGCUGGUAAGAACACAUGUGUUGGCACAGGCAGACCAAGAGAGGAGUGGAGGAGAGGCUGAUGUAUCCACAGAAGAAUUUGAAGAACAAUCAUGAGAUUUUACACAUGGCAGAUGUCUAAGAUAUUUUGAAAGAUUCUUCUCAGAGCCUCUAAGCCACAGCAGGGCCCUGCCACAUAUUUUGUUCUUCACAUAAUGAUGCUGUGCCAUUUCUAUUGCAGUAUUGAUGCACUCCUGGGUGGUACCAGCAGGAUGAGAAGUGUGGUUAAUAGUUGGCUUCAAGGGCCAAACAGAAAUAUCAGCCUGCAGUUCAAUCCCUAGCCAAGAAUGAGGCACUCAAGCAAGGAAACAGAUUUCUUUCCUAAACAAGGGAUCAAAGUAUGAUGAAGCAGUGGACAAAUCUUAAUAUCUUCCAGCCAGAUGAAGCAACAAGAGACUGUCUGGUAGUAACAGCCCAUAGUAAUCACAGAGGCAGUAAUUGAGUCCCAAUAAAAGUUGUCACAAGGUAUCUUGCCCCACUUCCAGUAUGGAUAAAGAUCAAGGACACAAGUUGGGAAAAACUAGCUCUGACCUGUAAAGGCAGUGCUUGCUUGCCAGCUGCUUCCAGAGCCUGGCUGCUGUGGACAUUCUGCAAUCAUCUUCCUUUGAUUGUUGUAUGGGAUCUGGACCUCUGAGAACAGCCCCAACUUGUGCAACCCUCAGCUAAGCUUGCCUUGAAAACCCUGCCAGGCAGAGACCACCCCUGCUGCUGGUGCCCUUCAUCUGCAGAAUGAGGACUGGACACUGAGCUAUUAAAUAAAUAUGUUUAUUAAUUAUAUAUUUAAAUGUUUUUUAGUUAUUAACAGAACUACUCAGCUUGGCAGUUUUUUUCAACAGGCAUCCUGCAUUUACUCCAUGUGGGUUUUUCCUUAUCUGAGCCCACAGGAGAGGUCAGGGUUGUUUUGGGGCAGGGUGAGUUACCUUUUUUUUUUGCCAUGUAAGUCACUGGAAGUCAAGACAACAACCAUCAGUAUGAAAAUACAAACUUUACUCUGGAAAUACUCUGGAGCCCACUACUUUCAUUAAGCAGGCUUGUGGCUCAUUUUCCCACUUAGAGGCAAGAGCUUACAGUAAAAUAAAGCAUCUACGUUUUUUCAGCGGCACAUGGAGUCCCUAGCCCUUUCUAGACACUUAUCCAAAGUGAAAAAAUAGUCUUGAUUAAAGCAUCCCUAUCUGAAAGGGAUUAAACUCCUCCAAUAUUUCUAAUUUUGUUUUCUAUUAUUCUCUGAGCAGAGGCAGGUGACUCCAAUUUUAUCUGCAGCAGGAUUCCAGUCUUCCUUGCUCCACUUGCAUCUUUUCAUCUAACCCAUUCCUCUGGGGCUGCAGGAACGUCAUGCUUCCCUCUCAGCCUACAGGUGAGAGCAAGGAGCAGAAGUUGCACCAUGUAAUUAUGGUUAUUAUGCCAGCUCAUAGAGCUCCUCACAGCAUAAACACUGCUAGCACUUGUCACUGCUGGGAACAGCUCUGCUCUUGCUGUUGGAGGCUUGGCACAGAUCUGAGUCCAAGUCCAGAUCUGAAGAGCAAAGCCCAAAACCUGCCCGCUCACACAUGGGGCCAAACCUUUCCCUGGGCUUGGGGAAACCUCUGGGUUUUGGAUUUCAAGCAUGAUUAGUGUAAUGUUGUGCUGAAAUGUGUGAUUCAGGCAGACAGUGUUCAGAGUUCAGGUCUACCACCUUUUUUCCUGCACUUGGAGUCAGUCCACUGCCAAAUCUUUAAAACAAUUGAGUGCAAUCUCCAGGUUUGAGUACUACAGGUUUACAUUCAAACCCUCACUCCUAUCAUGUAUUUUGCCCAUCCAAGUGGCAGGCAAUAUUCUAGUGCUGUCUCUUUCUCUCUCCCUUCUUUCUUGACAAGAAACUGCUGUUGUGCUAUUUUGAUAUGCUGCUUUUAGAAAGAUGAGAUAAAUACACACACAUUUAUACAACAGUUUUAUGAGAAGCCCUUCAGUAUGGGAUAAAAAAAGAAUCUGAGGUGGCAAAGUUGUGACAGAACUUGGAUAUAGUUAAUUGGAUCUACUUAUUUGCACCAUUUUUUAUUAACUGCUUGUGUCAGUCCUGGGCUGAGAAAGCAAUUUAACUCAUUGCCUGUGAAAAAUGAAAUGACAGCAGCUACUCGGGUGAACUUUCACAUUAAGGAAGCAUGAUCUGGUCUUGAUCAAAGACCUUAUGUUCCUGGAGGACCAGAGUUCAAGCACCAGCCUCUAAUUUCAAGAGAAGAAAAAGUUUCUGUGUCAUUGCAAGGUAAAUUUCAGAGUUUGAGGCCAAGGUAAAUUUUCAUGUCAGCACUGUUAGUGACCCUAAACUGAAGCUUGACUUGAUCAUCUCUUCCUUUAAUUCUCACUGUCAUAUUCUGCCUCCUGCUAGGCUGAAUUCCGUUUCAGCAGAGAGAAGUGAUGUUAUCAGCAGUCGUUGCUCCCAGGCACUCGUGGAUCACGUCAUGCAUCUUGCAGGUUGCACCAACAAAACAAGCUCUGAGGAGCAGGGUUGGCAUCCAAGAGAGACAAGACACCACCUCUGGGUGGCAACAAGCCAUAAAAUUGUCCUUGCAGGUCUUGUGUAACCAGAACAACUAAUAAACCUCUGGAAUGCUGAUGCUGUGGUUGAUCUGGUUACACCAGAGAAGCCAUCUCUCGCAAGUGGGAUGGCAGGAGCCAAAUCACGAGCAGAUAAUACCAAAGGCCACUGCUAGAGAUGUAUUAAUGUGAUUGUUACUGUGCUGAAUAAUGACUGUGGCUCUGUCACACCUGCUGAAAACUUUUUUUAAGCAUUUGGCAUCAUGAUACUAUUGAUUGGCACCUCAGUGUACCCAUGUUGACAAUAGAAGGGACUGUAGCCAUGGCAGCAGUCAUUUUGCAAACCUCAACACCACUGGUGUUGGUUGUAAAGCCAUCAUGAAAGUUAUUAGAAGAAGACAAAUGUUGUUACAGAUGGAUCUGUAGCCCUGCAAAUCGAAGUGAAUGAAAAAUGUCAGAUGUAAAGGUGGUCAAAAAGAGCAAAGGCCCAUCCUUUUCUAUUUUGCUGCCUCCAACCUUCAGCCUGCCCAAGGAGAAGUCAAACGCAUCCUUCCCAAAGCCUGCCAGCAUUGCCAUUGCUGUCCUUGCAGUGUGACACCUCUGGGGUGCUCUGCAGAUCACCAGGGCUCCUCCUCAGUGCUGGCUCUUGCUCUGAAAGCCAAGACAUGUGUGAAAGGCAGCUGUGGAUCCCGGGUGGUUAGAAGUUAAUUGUGAGGUCUAGCUUGCAAAUCAAACCAGAGAGAGAUGCUUUUGCAGGAACCAGGAGACAGAAACUCAGCUCUUGUUGAAGAUGAAGGGUGCCCGGGGCUCGUGCGAGUUCCUGGCUGUGCCCCAGGAGUGUGGGGUCACCCAAGGUGAAUCAUCUGGGGCUGCUUCCCCAGCUGUAAAGCAGGAUAAUACUUCUGUUCUCACCUCAGUUUGUCUUCUCUGUUUAGAUUUCAAGCUCCUCAGGGCUGUGUCUGAUACAUGUAUGUACAGUUCCUAGCUUAAUAGAGUCAUGAUCCAAACUGAAGCCUCCAGGCACUCCUGCAUAUUAUAUCAUUGCUAAUUUCACAAGAGGUUGCAAUCAAAUUCCUGUAUAGGGGAAAAAAAAACCCUGAAAAA